This 946-nucleotide ribosomal RNA is filed under the name Nagrajchalara venicola. RNAcentral describes it as "partial large subunit ribosomal RNA". It matches the Rfam family "Eukaryotic large subunit ribosomal RNA", at positions 19 to 983 of the family's 3401-position model. Lineage: Eukaryota; Fungi; Ascomycota; Leotiomycetes; Helotiales. The record is from RNAcentral.
CGUUUUCCCGUGUAAACUUAGCAUAUCAAUAAGCGGAGGAAAAGAAACCAACAGGGAUUACCUCAGUAACGGCGAGUGAAGCGGUAAUAGCUCAAAUUUGAAAUCUGGCUUCGGUCCGAGUUGUAAUUUGUAGAAGAUGCUUCGGGUGUGGCUCCGGUCUAAGUUCCUUGGAACAGGACGUCAUAGAGGGUGAGAAUCCCGUAUGUGACUGGGUGCCUCCGCCUAUGUGAAGCUCUUUCGACGAGUCGAGUUGUUUGGGAAUGCAGCUCAAAAUGGGUGGUAUAUUUCAUCUAAAGCUAAAUAUUGGCCAGAGACCGAUAGCGCACAAGUAGAGUGAUCGAAAGAUGAAAAGCACUUUGGAAAGAGAGUUAAACAGUACGUGAAAUUGUUGAAAGGGAAGCGUUUGCAAUCAGACUUGCACGUUGCCGAUCAUCUGGUGUUCUCACCAGUGCACUCGGUUUCGUUCAGGCCAGCAUCGGUUUGGGUGGUUGGAUAAAGGCCUUGGGAAUGUAGCUUCUUUCGGGGAGUGUUAUAGCCCUCGGUGCAAUGCAGCCUACCUGGACCGAGGACCGCGCUUCGGCUAGGAUGCUGGCGUAAUGAUUGUAAACGACCCGUCUUGAAACACGGACCAAGGAGUCUAACAUCUAUGCGAGUAUUUGGGUGUUAAACCCAUAUGCGUAAUUAACGUGAACGGAGGUAAGAGCCCUUAAGGGUGCAUUAUCGACCGGUCCUGAUGUCUUCGGAAGGAUCUGAGUAAGAGCAUAGCUGUUGGGACCCGAAAGAUGGUGAACUAUGCCUGAAUAGGGUGAAGCCAGAGGAAACUCUGGUGGAGGCUCGCAGCGGUUCUGACGUGCAAAUCGAUCGUCAAAUUUGGGUAUAGGGGCGAAAGACUAAUCGAACCAUCUAGUAGCUGGUUCCUGCCGAGUCUCCCCCUCCCAGGAGUAUA